AAGAGCUGUAAGAUUAUAUUUUAUUAUCAGUAAUUAUUGACCGUAUGUAAUAAAACCUUUCAUGGUUUUAUUAAAAAAAUAGAAGAAAAAAAAUGCAAACCCUAACUUCAUAUGGGAGCCAAUGUUGUGACGAAUAGUAUUUAACUCGAGUGUUGGUAAAAUUUUCUGUGGUCAUUCUAAUUUACAAUCUGUACAGUAAUUUACACAAACCUCAAUCCUGAAAUGGAAAUGGAGUAGGCUUUUUUUCAGUUUCAGAACCUUCAAAGGGCCUUCUGAUCUAGCCUCUCGUUCCAGUUUAGGCAACGAAUCAAGCUGCGAAACCAAUCACCCGUUUGAUCAGAUUUGUUAACUGUUGGAAGUGGGUGCUGGCUCAUAUAUAUCCGGACAGAAUCCCCUCUUGAAAGUUGUUGCCUUCUUUUCCCAUCGAAAGAAACCCACGCAUUGCUUCGAGCAUCCUCUGGAAUCUGUCCAAUUUCAAAAAGUGUUUAAAUUGUCUGUCUGAAGAAUAUGUCCAAAACCAGAUGUAAGACCCUUAAUUUACCUUUAAUUCAAGUCUUGCAGAAUCUGGAAGUAUGACUGGCCUAAAUGAGAGAGAAUGCGGACAGAUUGGGGUAAACAGCAUGCAAGGAACAUUUGGAUGCACCUGCAUUUGGGUAGUGCAUCUCAUUAUAUGUAGUUUGUCCAUCAAAAUUAACUAGCAACAAUAACCCCCAACUAGUUUCCAAAAAGGAAAAAAUGGCAUCUGUUUUCAGAAAAUGAGAUCAAUGAAGAAAAUUCAGAGCAUUUCAAGGAAGAGAAGAUAAUUCUACUCUUUUUUUUUUUCAAUUUUCCUUCUUAUUUCAUUUCCUUUUAUUUAUUUCAGAGAAGAAUCCUUGGCAAAUUUAUCAACAGCUUAUGAAGCAUUGGUUUAAUUGAAAGGGAAGCCUGUUUUGGAGUUUGAGCGAGAUGGAUUCAUACUAAUGUCUCAUACUUUCGUGGUGAGUUGGGGCUCAUAGAAAUUGAACAACAAGGAGGUGCAGGAUUCAUAGGUUUUAUUGGGAACAGAUGAUGAUGUUUUGAGAAAAUGCAGUUUGAUUUGCUGGAAUCACAAGUGGAAUAUCCCAUACAGUUCAGUAGAAAUUUAUCUCAAAAUUCUCGAAGCAAUCAGUUCUAAUAAUUCUUAACUAAAAAAACAUAAUUAUAAAGUUCCCAUGAAUCCUGAUGAAACAAGAAUUCCCAAAACUAAGACUCUCAUUGGCUUUAGCAAACCCAAACCCUUUUUUGACCAGCCAGAAAUUUUAGCUUUAUGUGAGUUGAGUUUAGCAAGAAAAUUCAGGCAGAGCCAAAUUUUUUCAAAGAAAAUGAGGCUAAAUUAAAAUUUGGGCCAACCUUACCUUGGCUCUUUUUGGCUUUUCCUGGCUUGAAUGCAAAGUACAUAUGUGUGCGUGUAGCAUUUAUUAUUCACUUACAUACUAUUAAAAUAUAAAUAAAACAUUUCAAACUUAAAAUGAAACUAUGCAAACAUACCAUGGAACCUCCAGCAGCUGUAGAGUAAGCAGUACUGCCUGUAGGUGUGGCUACUAUGACUCCAUCACCUUGCACCUUUGUUAUAAGUCGGUCAUGUUCAUAACAUUCGAUCUUAGAAAGAUACGGAUUAGAACCCCGGUCAACAACCACCUCAUUUAGGAUAUCAAAAACUUUCCCAGGCACUGCUUUACCAUUGCGAAAUAUUUCACAACAGAGGCGCAUUCUAAGAGUUAUAUAAACACCAUCCAGUGUGUUAUUUCCAUGAAUGACUCGUCUUAAGUCCUGCUUGAAGUCUUCAAAACUAUGAGAAGUGAGAAAUCCAAGAGACCCAAGAUUAAAGGAUACAAUGGGGGGAACAGCACCUAUAAACAAAUUUGAUGCAUGGAGUAUGACCCCAUCGCCCCCCAAGCAUGCCACAAAAUCAACCCUUUCAUGAAGAUCACUGCAUCAGGGGCAUCAGAAAGACAGAAUGCCAAUGAGAUGUGAAGAACAAUAAAAGACACAUCAAUGUCACUGCUAGAGGAGAGCACUAUUCGGUCUAAACCUAAAUUUUGAACCAAACCACCUUAACUCGGAAAUUCAGUUGGUUAGGAAUUUUCAAAGUUUGGUUUAAUCGAUUCGGUUUUCAAAGGCCAAAAAUCGAAAUAACCAAAAUUUACCAAAGCAUUGCGCUUUAUUUUUGAGGCUUAGGAUUACUUUAACUAUACUUACUUUCCUUUUUCCUGGCAAAUGCCACCCACCCUCUGCCCCUCUUGAUUUCUCUCUCAACUUCUUUCUCUGAAGACUCUUUCCCCUCUCAACUUCUUUCUCCUCUCAAUUUCAAGUCUCAAUUGAUUUACCCUCUCGAGUCAACUUCAUUUCAAGUUUCAGGCAAUCUUUCACUCUCGAUUUCCCCUCUCUGUUCCAUCAUUCACUCUCAGCUUUCAAACACCAAUCGCCUCUCUACCUCUGAAUCCAGACAAAAUUGACUCCCCUCAAUUGACUUUCAAGCAUUAAGAGUCCAAGACACAGGUGAAUGUCUAGGAGUUACUUGCGGAGGAUCUCCCAUCAACAAAAUCAUUUCUUUCCUUUUAAAACCCUCUCUUUCUAAGCCCAACUUUCACUCUCUCUCCAAAAUCCCGAAACUCAUUUUUACCCAUUCCUAAAUCCUACGAAUCCCAAGCUCUGGUCCUUAAGGUGAAAGUUGAUGUCUUAAUAAAAGUCAGUCCCAACCUAACUCUGAUUGUUGACGUUGCCAAGGAAGAGACAAAGCAUAAGGAGGUUUUUGUUUUCGUUGUUUUUAUGGUUAUUGAUGAAUUCUCAAGUACAAUUUGUUACUGUACAACUGGUUUCUUUUUAUAUCUUGAAUUUAUUCUAAAUGGUUAACAAGUUUUAUUUUCUAUUGUAAUUUGGGUUUCUAAAGUAUGUGUUGUGGUUGCCCAGAAUAUUCUUUUCUACUGCUACUUAUGGUUGGUUGACUAAUAUUGUGGUUGUCAAAAAUGAUAGUUGUGAAAUUUUUCAUCCCCUUUUUAGUGUCAUAUAAAUUAAAAUUUGUGGUUUUCCACAUUUCGAACCGGCUCAGUUCUGUUCAACCACCUUGUUCAGUACUGUUUCUUCUCCUAUUAGGUUUGGUUUAUUUGAUUUUUCACUUUUUUGAACCGAACCAACUGAUGCUCACGCCUAGUCACUACCCAUUAGAUCACAAUUUACAGUACCUGGUAUCUUGACUGUAAAAGGUCUGAAUAAAUCCAAACCCUGGGAUUCUAGCAAAUAUGUCAUGAACAUCAGGUUCAACAAGCACAUUCAUUUUCUCUUGGUGAUAAAGGUAAGAGGCCACCUGCACAUUGGAUACAAAACAUACGGUUAGAUUGACUAGAUGGAAAUAAGGUGAUCUCAGUUGUACUCACAGCCACCAAUGAAUUAUUCAUAUAUCUUUCAAUGCAAAUAAAAGAAAGGUGGGAUGUCCACUUAAAUACCUAUUUCAUGAAAACGCACCCCUUCCCCCAGAAAACAAGAAACAUUAAGAUGAUGUUGUCUUUCAUUUGGUCUCUAAUUCUGAAGGAGCGUCACCAGAAAUUCCAAGGUGGUUAAGAGAACAGAAUAGGCUAAGGAAUAUAACUGGCACUCAUAUUCAAUGAUUCCUACAGUUCCAGUGGAUUUGAUCGUCAAGGUUGAUCAAGAGAAAUUGGCCACAGAUUGGCACUGCCUAAGGAAUGAUUGGCACAUUGUAGGAAUGAGAACGCACACAGCUAAAAUCUGUCAAUAAUAUUGGCUUCGCCACUACACCACAGUGGAAAAAUUCAAUGCAUGAAAAUGAAAUGCAAGACCUUUAUACAUUGUCACUACAGAAUUGCAUAGAGGCAAUUUCUUCAUAAGCUAAUACACAUGUGAGACAUUUUAUACAUAAACCUUUUUCUAUAACCAAUACCUGCGUAAGCUAACAAGAUUUUAGUUCCCAACCUCAGAAAAUUGAUCUAUUCAAUUCUGAGUUCAAUUCCUAACCGAGAUUGGUGUUCGUUAAGGAAGAAAAAAAGGAUAACAGAAAAAAAACACAGAAAAAGAGAAUAAAAUAUUAAAAAGAAAUCAAUAGAAGGUUCUUGUUAUUCAUUCACAUGUUCCUUCACAGCUCUUACAUGCUAUUUCUUCAGUUUGAAUCUCAAGUAACAACUGAUUAACAACUUGUAAUACACAAGCUACAUCAGCAAAAACUUGUAAGUUGCAAACAAAUGACAUAAGCAAUUAACUAAUCCUAUGUGCAUUCUCUCUCAGUAGUCAGUUCUCUACACAACUAUAACAAGAAAGCAUUUGCUAAAGAUUUGGCUAUCAUAUAGCCACCUUUGCUAUUCAAUUAAUCUUGACCCAUUAAUCUUGGAAAUUUAAGUACAUAACAAUAAGGUGUGACUAUCUAACGUUGAUGGUACAAUACACCUACUAUAAUCCUCCAAUGUCUAAAACUAAGGCCAGUAUGAGAAAGAAUAAACAGAUGAAAUGGAGUUUUGUGCACAUAAUACCUCAGGCCUCUCAUUGGAACCCACAUGUUGCAUUAUCAAUUUUAGUAAAAGUAGUAAAUAGUCAAAUUAACAGAAUUCUGAAUUAGAAAAUCAAUGUGAAUUAAGAGAGAAUUUUUUUUUACAAUUACUGAGAAUUUUGAACGACACCUCUUUAGCUUCUUCCAUGAGUUCCUGCCCCAGCUUCUUCAACAGCAAUACAGUUUUUGGUGUUGAUUUCCACAUAAGCAUCUGUUGCUGAGUACUAGGAUGAGUGAAGGCCAAGGAAGAUUCAGUAACCUUUUCUCUCGUACAAGAAAAACCAUCUGUUCUUACUAAAAACAUUUCUGCUUUCCUUCUUGACUGCACUCUUACAACCCCAGUUGCAGAAGCACACAUGUCUCCUUCAAUUGAGCCCAUCUCAUCAUCGCUAAGGCCUGAUGCCACCCCAUUUUUUGUAUGAACCUCCUCUAUAUAUUUAGACGCAACACGCUCAUUUAAACUGUCCUUCACAGUUGUAUUGACAUUAGUGUCAGGAACAGAAUAUAUCUUCCCUUCACCAAAUGCAUACAAAUCUGAACCAAUAGAUGUAAAACUACUGCUUUUCAGAUGCUUCUGACCUUCAACAGAAGAGUUCUCAAGUUUUGGAGAUAGAUUUUCACUACCAACUGAUCCGUUGGAUCCUUUUGCCUUCUCAAGUCCUGACAUGGGAUCAAUGCCCACAAGCUCACUUGAAACCGGCAACUUGUUCAACUUACCAAACUGAUAAUUCGAGUAAAUGGGAGGUGAGAUUCUUUUAGUCUUUAAAAACCUGGACAUCUCUGCUUUGGAGAAGAUAUCACAAGGGGGAAUUUGUGCCUUUAGAGGAUCAGUUUCCUGGCAGAUGUUAGCUGAAGAUCUUCCCACAUUAUCAAAUGUUUCCAUAGAUGUUGUACCCUGAACAGAAACAGGACCAUUGUAGGCCCUAUUAAGGCUUUGGCCGAUUUGAUCCUCAAUUUGAGACUCAACUUCAUGAGACACUCCAUUUGAAUCAUGAAGUUUAUCCAACGCCUCUUUCAGUGAUUCAUUUUUCUGAUCUUCAAGGGAGCUCACUCCAAUAAUAGAAGGGGCCUGAAAUUCUCUGGUUUCAUUUGUAUCUUGUAGCAUCAUAUCACUGGGAGUACUAAACUGAGAUGCACUGCGUGUCAUGUACUGCCUCCAUCUGGAGACCAUUGCAGAAGUCCUCCAAGCCCCUUCCUUACUAUGAAGAUAGAUGGGCCUUUUGCUGCAAUCUGAAACCAAAGAUGCAAACUUUUGAACCUGCUCCACUGAAGGUGCUGUCCUAACUUCAACAGGGAUUUUAAUCGAUUCAACUUUCCCAGACAAAAUAGCAGCAUCUACAGCUGCUUGAUAAAAGUUAUCCUUUAUAGUUUCUGCUCUGAGAUCUACGAUAGUCUUGAAUCCUUUCUCCACUAACCAAUUCAAACUUUCCUCUGUUACCUGAGCACCCCUGUAAAAUGCUACUUCAGAAUUUCUGGAUGCUGUGUCUUCUUUAGAAGUGGAUAAAUAAACAGGACUCCAAUUUGCAAACAGCGUGUGACGGGGGUAAUCAUCGUAACGGGGAAAGCCAGAAUCAUAGCAGACGUUCUUCAGCCUCUGCAGUUUCCUCCAUACAUCCAAGCUCCGAUAAUCAUCAGGUGUCAAAUAGUUUUCAAGAGCAACAUGCAAACUCUCGCAACACCUUUUCAUCUCACUCCUAAAAAUGGCAAGUGGUGGGAGCUUAUCCUCCAUCAUGCUUAUGUCUGUGGCAUGAAAGGAAUUCAUGAUAGAAGAUCUUCCAGAAAGAACACCCUCUUUUUCUUUAUUUAUAAGUGAUAGCAUGCAACCAAGCACAGACACUAUUUUAUCUUCCAAUACUGGAUUUUCCUCAUAAUCAUAUGAAACACUACAUUCCCCAGUCAAAGGAUUGCAUAAUGCAUCCAUCAACGCAGUAUGAAGCCGUUCAGAUGUUCUGAAUAUUCUACAAUAUGCCUCAACUUCAGCAAUAUCCCCAGGAACUGGACCAAUCCAAGGCAACUGUGAUGGAUCAUGGGACUGGACAACAUUCUGAGAGUCCAAACCCAUACUCAAGGAGAAAGCCCUUGACAAGUCCGCACUGACAACAAACUUAUGCUUCCUCUUCAACCGCUCCUUUCUCUGCAAUUCGACUCCAUACCCAAAACCCACUAGUUGGGCAUCUCUGCUAAGCUCAUGAGAACAUGCACACGGUAGUAAUCCGGUGACAGGAGACAAACGAUUCAUGUCGACGAUGGAAACUUGGCACAAGAAGAGACAUGCCACCAUAUGGAAUCAAGUUCAGUGCGUGGAUUACAAUUUUCACCUUCUUUAGGAAAAAAAAAAAAUAGGUGAGCUGGUCACGAAAGGGAAAAUAUAAAGUAUAUGUUUGGAUGAUGGGAAAGUGACGUUCAGUGAGGAUGUGGAUAAUAUCGUCAGGACAAUGGCGGGUGGCGGAAUGUAUAGUUAGAACAAGAAUUAUUGGGAUUUUGGAGGGAUAUUAUUGGUGCUUGUGGCUGUGGUGGAU
This 7032-nucleotide unclassified non-coding RNA is filed under the name Hevea brasiliensis (rubber tree). The record is from RNAcentral. Lineage: Eukaryota; Viridiplantae; Streptophyta; Magnoliopsida; Malpighiales; Euphorbiaceae.